AUGGAUCGCAAUGUGCAGGUUUUGGUACGGUUAAGGCCAAUCAGUGCUGCCGAGAGCACUGCGUAUGGUCAAAAAAGAUGUUUGAUACAGGAUAGCUCAAAGACAUUGAGCUGGACAGGACACCCUGAAACAAAGUUCACGUUUGAUCAUGUCGCAUGUGAAACAAUAUCACAGGAAAAGCUGUUUAGGGUAGUUGGUCUACCAAUGGUGGAGAACUGCAUGUCUGGAUACAACGGCUGUUUGUUUGCCUAUGGCCAGACAGGGAGUGGCAAAACUUACACAAUGAUGGGAGAGCUUAGUAAGGAUGGCAAUGAACUUAGCAAUGAUUCUGGUUUGACGCCUCGUAUUUUCGAGUAUCUAUUCGCUCGGAUAAAGGAGGAAGAGGAAAGGCGAAGAGAGGACAAAUUGAAGUACAUCUGCAAAUGCUCUUUUCUGGAGAUAUACAAUGAGCAGAUAACUGAUCUACUUGAACCAUCAUCAACAAAUCUUCAGAUCCGUGAAGAUAUAAAGAAAGGUGUAUAUGUUGAGAACCUAAUGGAGUGUUAUGUGUCAUCUGUUAAAGAUGUUAUGUUGUUAUUAUUACAGGGGGUUGCAAAUAGGAAAAUGGCAGCUACAAAUAUGAAUAGUGAGAGCAGCCGUUCACAUAGCGUCUUCACUUGCGUCAUUGAGAGUCACUGGGAAAGGGAUUCAAUGACGCACCUCCGCUUUGGGCGUUUGAAUUUGGUUGAUCUUGCUGGUUCUGAGAGGCAGAAAAGCUCGGGCGCUGAAGGAGACCGCUUGAAAGAAGCUGCGAACAUUAACAGAUCCUUGUCAACUCUUGGGCUUGUUAUCAUGACUCUAGUGGAUGUCGCAAAUGGAAAAAGCCGCCAUGUGCCUUAUAGAGACUCAAGGCUUACAUUUCUCCUCCAGGAUUCCCUUGGAGGAAACUCUAAAACAACAAUUGUUGCCAACAUCAGCCCGUCUAUUUGUUCCUCCAAUGAGACACUGAGUACCUUGAAGUUUGCUCAGCGCGCGAAGUUGAUUCAAAACAAUGCAAAAGUAAAUGAAGAUGCUUCAGGAGGUGUUAUGGCUUUACAAAGGCAGAUAGAAGAACUAAAGGAUCAGUUGACAUGCUUGAGGAAGCAGCAAAAUGCCCCUGGAUCGCCUAGCUUUCUCCUGCUAAAUUCAGGCUCUGAUAGAGAAUACAAUACUUUAGCUGAAGAUCAUCAAUCAAGCUGUGACCUGAGUCUUCUAAAGCAAAAGGUUAGCCAUCUGGAAGAUGUUCUUGCUGGGAGCCUUAGGAGAGAGAAACUAGCUGAGGUGGAUAUCAGGAAGCUGGAGGCUGAAAUAAAGCAUUUGAAUCGUCUGGUUGACCUGAAGGAAUCUGAUUCCCAACGCUUGAGAAUGAUGCUGAAACUUCGUGACGAAAAAUUAAAAAGAUUGCAUAUGUUAGCUGAUGAUCUAGUGCCAUCGGAUGGCUAUAUGGUUGAAGAAAAUGCUGCAAUGUCCCAAGAGAUUCAGCUACUGCAAAAACAAUUUGACGAAAAUCCUCAACUGACUCAGUUUGCUUUUGAAAACAAGAGAUUAAUCGAGCAAGUUAGAACGCUUGAGAACUUCCACAAGCAAGGGGAAAGAGAGAUGUUAUUAACGGAGAUAUCUCUUUUGCGUAAUCAUUUCCUUCAUAUUCUUGAGCAGAAGUAUGCAGCACCUCCUAGGAAUUUAGAAGCACAGGGUGACGAGAUUGUCAAGGAUCUAGACAAUUGCAGGAAGGAGCUGGAUGCAUGCUUAGAAAAUAAUGUUUUGCUUGCACGUGAAGUAAAUAAGCUGCGCUGUGAACUGAAACAAUACCAGAUGUCUAGCACGCACCAAGUUGCUCCGACGGCAGAGAAGAAUUGUGGGAUUCCAGAGAUCAGUCAGAUACAACCCGAUCCAGUGGGAUGGAACUUUUCAUGUUUAACGCCCAAUGGUGCUGGAAUGUCAACUAAUAUUACGGAAUCAGUUCAACUCAAUCUUCCUUCAGAAAUUGCUAGUGGACACCAGGAAUCCUGUUCUCAUUUGUAUCAUUUCGAUUCAGAAAGAUGUGAUUUGAAUGAUUCUACAAAAGUGCCAGAGUGUAGUGAUGAAGUGUCUCAGUGCUACAGCUUGGCUCUUGGAUCUUCACAUAAUGUACUUGACAAAGACACUGUUCUUAGUGGACACGUAGAAGAUGAAGAAACAUUGCAAUUACAGCAGGAUGAGAUGGAUCAAAUACAUGAAAACGUACCAAAUAUGGGUAUAUGUUUGCAUGGUGAGACUUCAUUGUGUCAUCAAGAGACUGAAAUAGUGGGCUCAAGCAAACAGACAUUACAGGCCGAGUUGGCGCACAUUAAAAGCAUAAAUCAAGAGCUCAAAGAGAAGCUAGUUAUUAUGGUUGAAGAAAGUGCCAGGCUUGCAGAGAUCAUUGUGGCCAAAGAUGUAGAAAUUGCCUCUUUAUCUGAGGAAUGGGAGGUUGCAAUAGUUGAUCUAACAAGCUUCUUGACAGAUGGCUGCAGAUCACUAGACGAUGCAUAUCAGAAUAUUGAUAAUAUGAUUAGUUCAUUUCCUUACAGCAAUAAUUCUGUCAGCGAACAUGUGGAGAAGGCUAUGAAAGUUAGCAUUGAAAAGGAAAAAAUAAUCUUCAGGCUUCAAAUUGAGCUACAAGAUGCACAGCGAAUGGGCAGGGAAGUGAAAGAAAAGUUGCACAUCUUAAGAGGUGCAACACUUGCUAUCACUGAAGCUCAGCAAUUAUAUAAUGAUGCAAGUUCUCAGGAAGCAGAACGAGUAAACCAAAAGGAUUGCAAUGUGGAAUGGAAAAAUUGUGACUUGUCAGAAGCAGCAGAGCAUUCUCGUGAUGAACCUCUAUUCCUCGACAGCUUGAAUGACACGAGUGCACAGCGGACUCGUAGUGAAGAUGGAUCAGCAGUCAACAAAGCUAAUCCAGACUACCAGUCAAAGCUCGACGAUGUGUUAUGUCUCGUCGAGGAUAAGUCAAAUAAGGUUUUGGCCUUAUUUUCAAAUUUUGAGGAUGCUCAAGAAACCAUGAAAGAGGCUGACCUUAUGCUCUCGGCUUUGUUGAAGGCCAAUGAGGAGUUAAAGCUUGACAGAGAUAAUUGCCGCCAAGCAGUGGAAUCUUUAUUGGCGGAGAAAAGUUCUCUGGUCAAUGAGUUGCAGGAGGUUGAAGCGUCAAGUUUUUGUACAGCACAGAGUUACAACAAAUUAAAUCAGCAGAUGAAUGAAUGUACCAACGAGAUGACAAACAUUGCUACUCUAAUGAAGGGAUCUUUUCACCAUUUGCAAAGGAUUGCUACAAUGGAACUCUUUGAACUUUGCUCUGAAAUUAUUAAUAUUGGGCAGGACUUAAAGAGGUGGAUAAGUGAUUCAAGAUCUUAUCUGGUAAACAUUGAAUCACUUUUAGAAGAAAGAGGCAGUUCUUUAGUUCAGCAGCUCCAUCACCUUAAUGUGAAUGCUUAUACAUGCAUGUGUCAACAAGUUGAUUCAUGUGACCUGGGUGGCAGCAAUACUAUGUUUCUUCAUGAAACUCAAGCAAUCCCUGACAACUCUAGGAAGCAUAUUAUAUCUAUAACAGAUAUGGUGGAUGAAGGAAAGGACACGUCAUCCAUGCAUGUAGUUCCAAUGGGCAGUGCUGCUGAACUGGAAGUUUUUGAUGCAGACAGUGCAGACGAUAUGGCUGUUAUUAAGGACAUAAUUUUCAGUAUUGCUCAAAAGUGGGAUAUUUUCGUCAACAAAGUGUCCUGCAUUAAGAAUGCUGAGACAUAUCCAGGUGUUGCUUGUGAUGAACAAAGUUAUGCAAACCCUCUUGCUGCACUUGCAAAAUUAGAUAGCGAACAAAUACACUCAGCUGUUCCACAGCAAUGCAAGGAAAGCAUAGAAGAUCACUCAGGAGAGGAAGACAAUACUGCUCUUUUGAAUGAUGUUCAGUGUCUCAAGCAUCAUUUGGCGCAGUUAAUGAUUCCACUGUCUAAAUUUAUCAAUAAAGAAGACAUUAUGGGGGAUGGAACAGAAAAUGAGAAGCAGUUUGUUACUGUUCUGAAUAAGGUGCAAGAUAAUUUGAUUUUUGCUAUAGAUUUUUUUGGUUAUCUGUUACUAUCUGAGCAAGAAGGUUCUCAGAAUGCACCUUUGCUUAGCAGACUCCUUAAUGACAUUAGUACUAUUGAGAAGAAAGCUUUGACAUGUCAGAAAAUAUGCUUACGGGAUGGUGAUUCUCAGGCUGGUCACAGUACAGAGUACGCAUCACUAAGAAGAGACUUUGAGAGGAAAAGUGAUAUCGCUGAAGGAUUGUCUUUUGACUUGAAAUUAUUGCAAGAGUCUACCUCAUAUGCGAAGGACAUGAAAGAUAAAGCUGAUGAAGUGUCGAAUGCCCUUAGAAAGGUUCAACGAGAACUUGAGAUUAAAAAUUCUGAGACAGAAGACAUGUUGGCAAAACAGAAGACACUAGUGGAAGAACUGGCUGAAAAUGGUGCUGCACUCAUUGUUUUAAGAUCAGAGUUAGAGCAAUCUCAACUUUCAUCAUCUGCGCUAUCAAAGGAGAACAAUGAUCUGAGAGUGAUGCUGGAAGAGGAAACUGUGAAGACCAGUGAAAUAGUAGCUCUGUUGGAAGACAAAGCUAAGGUCAUAGAGGGAUUGGAGAGUGAAAUUAUAUUGCUUAAUUCUUCUGAAGAGGGACGUCUUAGGUCAGAUAUUGAAGAACUAAGUAAUAAUAUCAAAAUGUUAUGUAAUGAAAAUGGAAAGCUCAAAGCAGAGAUACUCAAGUUAAAUGACAAGCUUGAGAUGUCAAUGGCUUUAGCUGAGGAGAAUGAAGCUGCUGCUAUUGAAGCUCGGCAAGCUGCAGAGAUAAGUAAAAUCUACGCGGAAGAGAAAGAUGAGGAGGUUACAAUUCUUGAACAUUCUGUUGGGGAACUUGAAUCUACAAUAAUUGUUCUUGAGGAAGAGGUACGCAACCUUAAAGAGGAAGUAAGGAGCAACCAAGCGCACAAACAAUCCGAAGCUGAAUUUCAAGCAAUUGAAGAGAUGCUUACUGUAGAAAAUGCCUCAAAAUGUGAUGACAAUGUGGAACUGUGUCCAGGGAGAUGCCAACUAAAAAAGAGAUUGCGAGCUGAGAUUAUUGCACAUCAAGAUACUAGAAGGAAGAUUGAAGGACUCGUAAUGGAAGUAAAACGUAAAGAUGAGGAGAUAAGGCAGUGCAAAGAGCAUAUAGCUGAGCUGGUCCUGCAUUCAGAAGCACAAUCAUUGCUGUUUCAGGAGAAGUAUCAGGAAAUGGAGCACAUGGUUUCUAAACAGAACUUUGGUUCACAUGAAUCUAAUUCUGAGGCUGUCCAUACAAAAGUGGAAAAGCCUUCAGGGCGAACAAGAGGAUCUGGUUCACCUUUUAGGUGCAUAUCUAGCAUUGUUCAACAAAUGAACUCUGAGAAGGAUCAAGAAAUCUCUUUGGGCCGCCAGCGAAUUGAAGAACUUGAAGCGUUGCUUAGCGACAAACAGAAACAGAUAUGCCUGCUUACGUCAAGACUGGCAGCAGUGGAUAGCAUGACACAUGAUGUUAUAAGGGAGCUACUUGGCGUCAAAUUAGACAUGACAAACUAUGCUAAUUUGCUUGACCAAGAAGAAGUGCACAAGCUGUUAGUAGCAUCCCAGGAACAAAUCGAACAAUCGAAGGCGAAGGACGAGGAACUUGACGUCCUCAAAGAACAAUUCGGCCAUCUCAUUCAAGAAAGGGACAGCUUGCUUGAUGACAUGGACCAAAGGAAGGCGGACCUGCUGGAGACCCAGCUGCUCGUGGAACAGCUCGAACAGCGGGAGCAGAUGCUCGAGGCCCAGAACGAAAUGCUACAGAUGGAGAAAGACAACCUCCAGCAGAGGAUGAUGGAGAUGGACGAGACGAUCGAGCUGCUAGAAGGCUCAAAUCGAGUCAGAAUAGGAGAUAGCCAUAGCCAGCGUUCGGCCGGCAGCGAGUUCAGCAGGAGGCUGGCGCAGUCGGACAUGCUGGUGUCCCACGCGCGGCACGAGCGCUCCCGUAAUAACCGCGCGGCGGCCGCAGGGAGCUCGCGGCCGCGGCACGGCAGGCACCAUUGA
RNAcentral lists this ribosomal RNA (6084 nucleotides) under Triticum aestivum (bread wheat). Its description in RNAcentral is "partial small subunit ribosomal RNA". The record is from RNAcentral. Lineage: Eukaryota; Viridiplantae; Streptophyta; Magnoliopsida; Poales; Poaceae.